This 71-nucleotide transfer RNA is filed under the name Patescibacteria group bacterium. RNAcentral describes it as "tRNA-Pro". It matches the Rfam family "tRNA". From Rfam's summary of the family: Transfer RNA (tRNA) molecules are approximately 80 nucleotides in length. Their secondary structure includes four short double-helical elements and three loops (D, anti-codon, and T loops). Further hydrogen bonds mediate the characteristic L-shaped molecular structure. tRNAs have two regions of fundamental functional importance: the anti-codon, which is responsible for specific mRNA codon recognition, and the 3' end, to which the tRNAs corresponding amino acid is attached (by aminoacyl-tRNA synthetases). tRNAs cope with the degeneracy of the genetic code in two manners: having more than one tRNA (with a specific anti-codon) for a particular amino acid; and 'wobble' base-pairing, i.e. permitting non-standard base-pairing at the 3rd anti-codon position. The record is from RNAcentral. RNAcentral also lists the same sequence under 1 other name.
CGGGAUGUAGUAUAAUGGUAGUACGCAAGGCUGGGGGUCUUGUAGCGGGGGUUCGAUUCUCCCCAUCCCGA